This 82-nucleotide transfer RNA is filed under the name Oryctolagus cuniculus (rabbit). It matches the Rfam family "tRNA". Rfam says of the family: Transfer RNA (tRNA) molecules are approximately 80 nucleotides in length. Their secondary structure includes four short double-helical elements and three loops (D, anti-codon, and T loops). Further hydrogen bonds mediate the characteristic L-shaped molecular structure. tRNAs have two regions of fundamental functional importance: the anti-codon, which is responsible for specific mRNA codon recognition, and the 3' end, to which the tRNAs corresponding amino acid is attached (by aminoacyl-tRNA synthetases). tRNAs cope with the degeneracy of the genetic code in two manners: having more than one tRNA (with a specific anti-codon) for a particular amino acid; and 'wobble' base-pairing, i.e. permitting non-standard base-pairing at the 3rd anti-codon position. The record is from Rfam by way of RNAcentral. Lineage: Eukaryota; Metazoa; Chordata; Mammalia; Lagomorpha; Leporidae.
GGUGCUGUGGCUCAGUGGGUAGAGCUGCUGCCUUCCAUGCCAGCAUCCCCUGUGGGUGCUGGUUCGAGUCCUGGCUGCUCCA